This 1372-nucleotide ribosomal RNA is filed under the name uncultured bacterium. RNAcentral's name for it is "bacterial SSU rRNA". It matches the Rfam family "Bacterial small subunit ribosomal RNA", at positions 28 to 1381 of the family's 1533-position model. The record is from RNAcentral.
GAUGAACGCUGGCGGCGUGCCUAAUACAUGCAAGUCGAGCGAACAGACGAGGAGCUUGCUCCUUUGACGUUAGCGGCGGACGGGUGAGUAACACGUGGAUAACCUACCUAUAAGACUGGGAUAACUUCGGGAAACCGGAGCUAAUACCGGAUAACAUGUUGAACCGCAUGGUUCAACAGUGAAAGACGGUCUUGCUGUCACUUAUAGAUGGAUCCGCGCCGCAUUAGCUAGUUGGUAAGGUAACGGCUUACCAAGGCAACGAUGCGUAGCCGACCUGAGAGGGUGAUCGGCCACACUGGAACUGAGACACGGUCCGGACUCCUACGGGAGGCAGCAGUAGGGAAUCUUCCGCAAUGGGCGAAAGCCUGACGGAGCAACGCCGCGUGAGUGAAGAAGGUCUUCGGAUCGUAAAACUCUGUUAUUAGGGAAGAACAAAUGUGUAAGUAACUAUGCACGUCUUGACGGUACCUAAUCAGAAAGCCACGGCUAACUACGUGCCAGCAGCCGCGGUAAUACGUAGGUGGCAAGCGUUAUCCGGAAUUAUUGGGCGUAAAGCGCGCGUAGGCGGUUUUUUAAGUCUGAUGUGAAAGCCCACGGCUCAACCGUGGAGGGUCAUUGGAAACUGGAAAACUUGAGUGCAGAAGAGGAAAGUGGAAUUCCAUGUGUAGCGGUGAAAUGCGCAGAGAUGUGGAGGAACACCAGUGGCGAAGGCGACUUUCUGGUCUGUAACUGACGCUGAUGUGCGAAAGCGUGGGGAUCAAACAGGAUUAGAUACCCUGGUAGUCCACGCCGUAAACGAUGAGUGCUAAGUGUUAGGGGGUUUCCGCCCCUUAGUGCUGCAGCUAACGCAUUAAGCACUCCGCCUGGGGAGUACGACCGCAAGGUUGAAACUCAAAGGAAUUGACGGGGACCCGCACAAGCGGUGGAGCAUGUGGUUUAAUUCGAAGCAACGCGAAGAACCUUACCAAAUCUUGACAUCCUCUGACCCCUCUAGAGAUAGAGUUUUCCCCUUCGGGGGACAGAGUGACAGGUGGUGCAUGGUUGUCGUCAGCUCGUGUCGUGAGAUGUUGGGUUAAGUCCCGCAACGAGCGCAACCCUUAAGCUUAGUUGCCAUCAUUAAGUUGGGCACUCUAAGUUGACUGCCGGUGACAAACCGGAGGAAGGUGGGGAUGACGUCAAAUCAUCAUGCCCCUUAUGAUUUGGGCUACACACGUGCUACAAUGGACAAUACAAAGGGUAGCGAAACCGCGAGGUCAAGCAAAUCCCAUAAAGUUGUUCUCAGUUCGGAUUGUAGUCUGCAACUCGACUACAUGAAGCUGGAAUCGCUAGUAAUCGUGGAUCAGCAUGCUACGGUGAAUACGUUCCCGGGUCU